AUGGGCACCAGGCUCUUCUUCUAUGUGGCCCUUUGUCUGCUGUGGGCAGGACACAGGGAUGCUGGAAUCACCCAGAGCCCAAGAUACAAGAUCACAGAGACAGGAAGGCAGGUGACCUUGAUGUGUCACCAGACUUGGAGCCACAGCUAUAUGUUCUGGUAUCGACAAGACCUGGGACAUGGGCUGAGGCUGAUCUAUUACUCAGCAGCUGCUGAUAUUACAGAUAAAGGAGAAGUCCCCGAUGGCUACGUUGUCUCCAGAUCCAAGACAGAGAAUUUCCCCCUCACUCUGGAGUCAGCUACCCGCUCCCAGACAUCUGUGUAUUUCUGCGCCAGCAGUGAGUC
This is a non-coding RNA of Homo sapiens (human), 344 nucleotides long. Lineage: Eukaryota; Metazoa; Chordata; Mammalia; Primates; Hominidae. The record is from the annotation of a RefSeq genome assembly.